CCUGUCCCUAGAGACAUUGCAGAUGUUUUGCUGUGUCACAUGUACAUCAGUAGGUGGCAGAGAGGGGAGAUACUAGGUCUACAGUCUAUUCUGAUGUAUGAACAUUUGAAUUAGUAGCCUAACAUU
Molecule: small nucleolar RNA, 126 nt
Organism: Rattus norvegicus (Norway rat)
Lineage: Eukaryota; Metazoa; Chordata; Mammalia; Rodentia; Muridae
Product: small nucleolar RNA SNORA17
Source: Ensembl